CCUAAGGUAGCGAAAUUCCUUGUCAGGUAAGUUCUGACCCGCACGAAUGGCGUAAUGAUUUGGGCACUGUCUCAACAGCCCGCCCGGCGAAAUUGUAGUACUGGUGAAGAUGCCAGUUACCCGCAACUAGACGGAAAGACCCCAUGGAGCUUUACUGCAGCUUAAUACUGAAAUUCGGUAGUACAUGUACAGGAUAGGUGGGAGACUGAGAAAUACAGGCGUCAGCUUGUAUGGAGUCGCUGUUGGGAUACCACUCUUGUACUGCUGGGUUUCUAACCUGCGGCCGUGAAUCCGGUCGGGGGACACUGUUAGGCGGGCAGUUUGACUGGGGCGGUCGCCUCCCAAAAGGUAACGGAGGCGCUCAAAGGUUCGUUCAGCACGGACGGAAAUCGUGCAAUGAGUGUAAACGCAUAAACGAGCCUAACUGCGACACCGACGGGUGGAGCAGUAACGAAAGUUGGAGUUAGUGAUCCGGUGGUAUGUGAGUGGAAAUGCCAUCGCUCAACGGAUAAAAGUUACCCUGGGGAUAACAGGCUGAUCUCCCCCAAGAGUCCACAUCGACGGGGAGGUUUGGCACCUCGAUGUCGGCUCAUCGCAUCCUGGGGCUGUAUUCGGUCCCAAGGGUUUGGCUGUUCGCCAAUUAAAGCGGCACGCGAGCUGGGUUCAGAACGUCGUGAGACAGUUCGGUCCCUAUCUGUUGCGGGCGUAAGAGAUUUGAAGGGAGCUGUCCUUAGUACGAGAGGACCGGGAUGGACGUACCUCUGGUGCACCAGUUGUCCUGCCAAGGGCAUAGCUGGGUAGCUAUGUACGGACGAGAUAAACGCUGAAAGCAUCUAAGCGUGAAACUCCCCCUAAGAUGAGAUCUCUCAUCCUUCAAGGAGUAAGGACCCAGAAAGACGAUCUGGUUGAUAGGCCGAAGGUGGAAGCGCAGUAAUGUGUGCAGCUGAUCGGUACUAAUAGUCCGAGGGCUUGACCUA
RNAcentral lists this ribosomal RNA (977 nucleotides) under human gut metagenome. RNAcentral's name for it is "bacterial LSU rRNA". It matches the Rfam family "Bacterial large subunit ribosomal RNA", at positions 1950 to 2925 of the family's 2925-position model. The record is from RNAcentral.